CCUACGGGAGGCUGCAGUGAGGAAUAUUGGUCAAUGGGCGUAAGCCUGAACCAGCCAAGUCGCGUGAGGGAUGAAGGUUCUAUGGAUCGUAAACCUCUUUUAUAAGGGAAUAAAGUGUGGGACGUGUCCUAUUUUGUAUGUACCUUAUGAAUAAGGAUCGGCUAACUCCUGGCCAGCAGCCGCGGUAAUCCGGAGGAUCCGAGCGUUAUCCGGAUUUAUUGGGUUUAAAGGGUGCGUAGGCGGCCUUUUAAGUCAGCGGUGAAAGUCUGUGGCUCAACCAUAGCAUUGCCGUUGAAACUGGGGGGCUUGAGUAUGGUUGAGGCAGGCGGAAUGCGUGGUGUAGCGGUGAAAUGCUUAGAUAUCACGCAGAACCCCGAUUGCGAAGGCAGCCUGCCAAGCCAUGACUGACGCUGAUGCACGAAAGCGUGGGGAUCAAACAGGAUUAGAUACCCCUGUAGUC
RNAcentral lists this ribosomal RNA (460 nucleotides) under uncultured bacterium. Its description in RNAcentral is "partial 16S ribosomal RNA". It matches the Rfam family "Bacterial small subunit ribosomal RNA", at positions 338 to 795 of the family's 1533-position model. The record is from RNAcentral.